This 1589-nucleotide long non-coding RNA is filed under the name Homo sapiens (human). Its description in RNAcentral is "HSALNT0006546". The record is from RNAcentral. Lineage: Eukaryota; Metazoa; Chordata; Mammalia; Primates; Hominidae.
CGUCUGCAGAGCAUCUGUGUAGAUCACGGCCAUGAGGCCACCUGGGGACCCAAGGAGAGGGCUCAUCAGUCAGCACCAGUUUGGGGUCCUCUCUGGCUGCCUGCCCUGUGCAUGGCCACACUGGGGAGACCAGAGAAGACACACAGCCCUCUUAGCAGGGGAACUCUGGCCACUGCCUUUCUCCGCACCUAGUGUUCCCCUCUCUCCCUCCCCGGCAGGAUGCCAGCUGGUCACAGUCAAAGGUGCUGGGGCCCCUUCUUUCUGUCUUGACAGCAGCUGACUGUGGCCAUCACACCACAGCUUUGUGUUAUUGUUUAAUAUCCCAAGUCCAUUCCUUGACUUGCAGUUCUGCCAGGAAUACUCCCUGCUUUCUCCUCCCAAUGCCCAUCUAAAUGCCCCCCUGUCUCUGGACCCCAACUUAACCAUAAGUAAGGCUGUCCUGUGCUGGCCUCCCAGGGUGCCCAGCCCUGUGCAAGGAGAUUUGGAGGAGGUGGGUUGUGGUCUCUGCCUGGGGCAGCCUGCAGUGACUCUGGCUUGGGUCAUAGUCCUCCUCUCUACCCUGCUCCCCAGGCAGUUAGUCUUUUGUGGUAUUUCUUACUGUCUCUCCUUCCCUGUCUCUGCCUGACCUGUUCCUCCUCCCAUUUCUGCCCUUUUUAUCCCCCUGGUCUCUGUCCCUGUGUCUGUCAUUCUGUUCCCCUGUGUUCUUCUCUUCUACGUCUCUGUCUCAGCCUCUCUUUGUCUCUGCCUCUCCUGUUUCUCCUCUCUGUCAGCAUCAGCUUUCUGUCACUCUGUCUCUCUCUCUGGUUGUCUCUCCUUCAGUCUUUCUCUCUGGGUCUCUGCCAGUCAGAAGCUUUCCUCUUGCCCUCUUCCCUCUGCCUACCUGCAAUGGUGUAGACGGCAGUCACCACCAGCAGGAUCCCUGUGGAGAGGUACAGGUUCCAGCCCAAUGCCAUCUGGAUGAAGAGGGCUCCAGAGAAGAUGUCAGUCUGCAGAGAGCCAGGACCCAAGAGGCCAGACCACCCGAGGCCCUCAGUAGGGUUGUAUGGACACAUCACCUGCCUGCCCAGCAACACCAGGCACCCUCAGCCCUCAUCACAUGAUGAAAAUGAGCUUUAAGUGCUAUGCUAAGGAGUGUGGGUUUUAUCUUGCAGACACUGAGGCGCCAUGGAGACUUUAAAGCAGAGAAGUACUGUAUAAAGCCUCCAAACUGAGAUAAAUUUAAUCACGUAGCUGGUCUGCUGGACAUGAAGGGAGUGGUGAGGAAUGAAGUGGAAGGCUGAGGAAGUGAAGGAAGGUGCUGGGCUGGAGAAGAAGAGCUCAUUUAGGAGAAGAGAGGAAGAACCGGAGAGUUGCUGGCUGCUCCCUGGCAGAGCAGAGCCUGCUUGGCUGUCAGUGAUUGUCAGCUUCCCCUCAGCAACACGCACAUGGUGAUGCACUCAGCAGUUCCCUAAUUAGCAUUUCCAGACACAGUGACCACAUUGCAGUGACACCUACCGAGAUCUUGGUGAAGAUGUAGAGGAUGAGAGACAGGACAGACAUGUACACCUGGAUCCUCUGGCCCCCAAAUCGCUUCUUCAGAUACUGCGGCA